GGGUGGUAGUUAAGGGCUAGGGUGGUGGUUAAGGGUUAGGGUUAGGGUGGUGGUUAAGGGUUAGGGUUAGGGUGGUGGUUAAGGGUUAGGGUUAGGGUGGUGGUUAAGGGUUAGGGUGGUGGUUAAGGGUUAGGGUGGUGGUUAAGGGUUAGGGUGGUGGUUAAGGGUUAGGGUGGUGGUUAAGGGUUAGGGUUGUGGUUAAGGGUUAGGGUGGUGGUUAAGGGUUAGGGUUAGGGUGGUGGUUAAGGGCUAGGGUGGUGGUUAAGUGUUAUGGUGGUGGUUAUGGGUUAGGGUUAGGGUGGUUGUUAAGGGUUAGGGUGGUGGUUAAGGGCUAGUGUGGUGGUUAAGGGUUAGGGUGGUGGUAAAGGGUUAGGGUGGUGGUUAAGGGUUAGGGUGGUGAUUAAGGGUUAGGGUGGAACCAACUAGGGUGGUAGUUAAGGGCUAGGGUGGUGGUUAAGGGUUAGGGUUAGGGUGGUGGUUAAGGGCUAGGGUUAGGGUGGUGGUUAAGGGUUACGGUGGUGGUUAAGGGUUAGGGUGGUGGUUAAGGGUUAGGGUGGUGGUUAAGGGUUAGGGUGGUGGUUAGGGGUUAGGGUUAGGGUGGUGGUUAAGGGUUAGGGUGGUGGUUAAGGGUUAGGGUGGUGGUUAAGGGUUAGGGUGGUGGUUAAGGGUUAGGGUAGUGGUUAAGGGCUAGGUAGGUGGUUAAGGGUUAGGGUGGUGGUUAUGGGUUAGGGUUAGGGCGGUGAAUAAGGGUUAGGGUGGUGGUUAAGGGUUAGGGUGGUGGUUAAGGGUUAGGGUGGUGGUUAAGGUUUAGGGUGGUGGUUGGGGUUAGGGUGGUGUUUAAGGGUUAGGGUGGUGGUUAAGGGUUAGGGUUAGGGCGGUGGUUAAGGGUUAGGGCGGUGGGUUAGGGUUAGGGUGGUGGUUAAGGGUUAGGGUGGUGGUUAAGGGUUAGGGUGGGUUAGGGUGGUGGUUAAGGGUUAGGGUUAGGGUGGUGGUUAAGUGUUAGGGUUAGGGUGGUGGUUAAGGGUUAGGGUGGUGGUUAAGGGUUAGGGUGGUGGUUAGGGGUUAGGGUUAGGGUGGUGGUUAAGUGUUAGGGUUAGGGUGGUGGUUAAGGGUUAGGGUGGUGGUUAAGGGUUAGGGUGGUGGUUAAGGGG
This is a long non-coding RNA of Oncorhynchus tshawytscha (Chinook salmon), 1151 nucleotides long. The record is from Ensembl. Lineage: Eukaryota; Metazoa; Chordata; Actinopteri; Salmoniformes; Salmonidae.